CGGGAGAGAAGAUGGACAAAAGUCCCCAGGACCGCCUCUCCCACAUCAGGUCAGAAGGAAGCCCCACGCUUCUCCACCUGCAGAAGGGCUGGUUGUGGAAGCACUCUGAGUUGAGCUUCAGGAAUAACUGUCCAAACCAAUUCAAUACAACUGGGUCACCACGGCAACGCACACCUUUUGUGCAACAGAAAACCUCCUCCAAGCUAUGUAGCUGCCAUUAUAGCUUCUGGUUUAGGAGCCGCACUGCCACUGCUGUGAUCAGAAAUCUGCCUUCAUUAGGAAACCACCAGCACCAGGAAAUCUCCAUUGCAGCAGUUACCUCCUGAAAUCCACACCCUCAAGAUGGAGGGUCCAUGCCCUCCCUUGACUCCUCCAAGGCUAUGUGGUGGUCACACACUGGGACCUCUGUUAACCCUGUUGAAAUGUCCCAUGACUCCCCAGGAGAAACAGCAGAGCAUCAGAAGGAAAUUUGGAACCAAGCAAGUGCAUCCUGAGAACCUAAAUUACACUUAGAGCUCUGCUUCCGGGAAGCCUGAGAAAAAAGAGUGUGUGGUGUUCCACCUCUCUGGAAGAGGAAGCUACACGAAAAAGACCUUGGAAUGGCUACGGUGCUGGAGCACCGAUCCACUGCAUACUCCGCCUUUGGCCAUUAAACAUUCAUAGGCAUUCUGCUUCCUAAAUUGAGCUUCCAUAAACACACAGGUCCUCACUAACAUUCAAACACAUUUGCCCACUCCCCAAGGGGAGACCCACACUUCGCAAUAUCCAUGACUGGGUAAUGUUUAGUUUUUUUCCUUUUAACCUAGUCACAGCCCGUUUUUGAUGUCCUACAACCCGUGGACUGAAGGAGAGUUCAUUGUGAUUCCAAAUCCCUUCAUAGAACAGUAGGGGGAAGGAGGAAAGAGUAAAACAAAAGUUAUUAAUAGAUGUAAGUAAUAGAAAGGAAAAAUAAAG
This 954-nucleotide long non-coding RNA is filed under the name Chinchilla lanigera (long-tailed chinchilla). RNAcentral describes it as "lncRNA (ENSCLAG00000025404.1)". Lineage: Eukaryota; Metazoa; Chordata; Mammalia; Rodentia; Chinchillidae. The record is from RNAcentral.